RNAcentral lists this ribosomal RNA (62 nucleotides) under Maxillaria meridensis. RNAcentral describes it as "partial 26S ribosomal RNA". RNAcentral also lists the same sequence under 1 other name. The record is from RNAcentral. Lineage: Eukaryota; Viridiplantae; Streptophyta; Magnoliopsida; Asparagales; Orchidaceae.
GCGACCCCAGGACGGGCGAGGCCACCCGCCGAGUUUAAGCAUAUCAAUAAGCGGAGGAGAAA